Molecule: ribosomal RNA, 726 nt
Filed under: uncultured Bacillus sp.
Lineage: Bacteria; Bacillati; Bacillota; Bacilli; Caryophanales; Bacillaceae
Description: bacterial SSU rRNA
Rfam family: Bacterial small subunit ribosomal RNA
Source: RNAcentral
UAUAAUGCAGUCGAGCGAAUGGAUUAAGAGCUUGCUCUUAUGAAGUUAGCGGCGGACGGGUGAGUAACACGUGGGUAACCUGCCCAUAAGACUGGGAUAACUCCGGGAAACCGGGGCUAAUACCGGAUAACAUUUUGCACCGCAUGGUGCGAAAUUCAAAGGCGGCUUCGGCUGUCACUUAUGGAUGGACCCGCGUCGCAUUAGCUAGUUGGUGAGGUAACGGCUCACCAAGGCAACGAUGCGUAGCCGACCUGAGAGGGUGAUCGGCCACACUGGGACUGAGACACGGCCCAGACUCCUACGGGAGGCAGCAGUAGGGAAUCUUCCGCAAUGGACGAAAGUCUGACGGAGCAACGCCGCGUGAGUGAUGAAGGCUUUCGGGUCGUAAAACUCUGUUGUUAGGGAAGAACAAGUGCUAGUUGAAUAAGCUGGCACCUUGACGGUACCUAACCAGAAAGCCACGGCUAACUACGUGCCAGCAGCCGCGGUAAUACGUAGGUGGCAAGCGUUAUCCGGAAUUAUUGGGCGUAAAGCGCGCGCAGGUGGUUUCUUAAGUCUGAUGUGAAAGCCCACGGCUCAACCGUGGAGGGUCAUUGGAAACUGGGAGACUUGAGUGCAGAAGAGGAAAGUGGAAUUCCAUGUGUAGCGGUGAAAUGCGUAGAGAUAUGGAGGAACACCAGUGGCGAAGGCGACUUUCUGGUCUGUAACUGACACUGAGGCGCGAAA